Molecule: ribosomal RNA, 301 nt
Filed under: uncultured bacterium
Lineage: Bacteria
Description: partial 16S ribosomal RNA
Rfam family: Bacterial small subunit ribosomal RNA
Source: RNAcentral
CAGCAGCCGCGGUAAUACGAGGGGGGCAAGCGUUGUUCGGAAUUAUUGGGCGUAAAGCGUGCGUAGGCGGCUUCUUAAGUCGGAUGUGAAAUCCCUGAGCUUAACUUAGGAAUUGCAUUCGAUACUGGGAAGCUAGAGUAUGGGAGAGGAUGGUAGAAUUCCAGGUGUAGCGGUGAAAUGCGUAGAGAUCUGGAGGAAUACCGAUGGCGAAGGCAGCCAUCUGGCCUAAUACUGACGCUGAGGUACGAAAGCAUGGGGAGCAAACAGGAUUAGAUACCCGAGUAGUCCCUGUCUCUUAUAC